UCUUCUUUAUCCAUUCAUCUAUGAAUGGAUACUUGCACUGCUUCCAUAAUCUUGGCUAUUGUAAAUAAAGCUGUGGUAAACAGAGGGGUGUAUAUAUCUUCACAGUAGUGGUUUCAUUUACUUUGGGUAUUCUCAGUAGUGGAAUUACUGGAUUAUAGGGUUUUCUAUUUUUAA
This is a long non-coding RNA of Mustela erminea (ermine), 174 nucleotides long. RefSeq lists it as uncharacterized. NCBI's taxonomy places the organism in Eukaryota, Metazoa, Chordata, Mammalia, Carnivora, Mustelidae. The record is from RefSeq and is a predicted model, not a curated record. The transcript has 3 exons.